CAAAGUCACUCUCAAGGCCCUCUUGAGGGAGUAUGCCGACUCCAAAAGGAGAAAGAAGAAGACGCAUCGGGUGGAUGUGGAACGGUGGAAGAGUAGAACCCAAAGAAAAAGAGGGGUUUAUGUGUCGAAACUUUCAAAGCCUUUUGUCUUUAAACAAAAGAAGAAUGAGAUAAGUGUUUUUGAGAAAUUUGCCAUUAAGUAUAAAGUACAGAAUAACCUAUGGUGUGUCUGUUUAUUUUAGGGAAAUUGAUCAGAAAACAUAAAAAAACAUCUGAAAAUCGUUCUCCAUCUCAGAGUCCCCAAGGCAAAAUACAACCUCCAUCUUCACUGGUCAGUGACACUGCAGAAGAUCUCGAAUCACAAGUCACAAAACUGUGGAAAAAAAGAGACACAGAAGUGGUUAUUUCUGUGGUGCCCUCUCAAAUUACAGGGCACAACUUUGUAAUUCACCACAGUGAGUUCAGAACACUAAGGCCUCACCAGUGGCUUGUAGGCGAGGUAAGUACUUUCAUUAAAGUAACCAAACCACUAAUCAUAAAGACAUAAAAACAAGUGAAGCUGCUAACAGCAACGAUCACGCCCUUUUAAUGUAGCUACCUUUGAAAAUUCUUUUUGAUUUCAUACUCAAAGUAUGUGAUUUAUUAUCUUUGGUUUGUUUUGUGUUAGGG
Molecule: long non-coding RNA, 668 nt
Organism: Centropristis striata (black sea bass)
Lineage: Eukaryota; Metazoa; Chordata; Actinopteri; Perciformes; Serranidae
Exons: 4
Source: RefSeq, a predicted model, not a curated record